Molecule: ribosomal RNA, 548 nt
Filed under: Aspergillus sp. Fungi76
Lineage: Eukaryota; Fungi; Ascomycota; Eurotiomycetes; Eurotiales; Aspergillaceae
Also listed under: 1 other name
Description: eukaryotic LSU rRNA
Rfam family: Eukaryotic large subunit ribosomal RNA
Source: RNAcentral
AAAAGAAACCAACCGGGAUUGCCUCAGUAACGGCGAGUGAAGCGGCAAGAGCUCAAAUUUGAAAGCUGGCUCCUUCGGGGUCCGCAUUGUAAUUUGCAGAGGAUGCUUCGGGUGCAGCCCCCGUCUAAGUGCCCUGGAACGGGCCGUCAUAGAGGGUGAGAAUCCCGUAUGGGGCGGGGUGCUGCGUCCGUGUGAAGCUCCUUCGACGAGUCGAGUUGUUUGGGAAUGCAGCUCUAAAUGGGUGGUAAAUUUCAUCUAAAGCUAAAUACUGGCCGGAGACCGAUAGCGCACAAGUAGAGUGAUCGAAAGAUGAAAAGCACUUUGAAAAGAGAGUUAAACAGCACGUGAAAUUGUUGAAAGGGAAGCGCUUGCAACCAGACUCGCUCGCGGGGUUCAGCCGGGCUUCGGCCCGGUGUACUUCCCCGCGGGCGGGCCAGCGUCGGUUUGGGCGGCCGGUCAAAGGCCUCCGGAAUGUAGCGCCCUUCGGGGCGCCUUAUAGCCGGGGGUGCAAUGCGGCCAGCCUGGACCGAGGAACGCGCUUCGGCACG